CCUACGGGAGGCAGCAGUGAGGAAUAUUGGUCAAUGGACGAGAGUCUGAACCAGCCAAGUAGCGUGAAGGAUGACUGCCCUAUGGGUUGUAAACUUCUUUUAUAUGGGAAUAAAAUGUUCCACGUGUGGGCUUUUGUAUGUACCCUAUGAAUAAGGAUCGGCUAACUCCGUGCCAGCAGCCGCGGUAAUACGGAGGAUCCGAGCGUUAUCCGGAUUUAUUGGGUUUAAAGGGAGCGUAGGUGGAUUGUUAAGUCAGUUGUGAAAGUUUGCGGCUCAACCGUAAAAUUGCAGUUGAAACUGGCAGUCUUGAGUACAGUAGAGGUGGGCGGAAUUCGUGGUGUAGCGGUGAAAUGCUUAGAUAUCACGAAGAACUCCGAUUGCGAAGGCAGCUCACUGGACUGCAACUGACACUGAGGCUCGAAAGUGUGGGUAUCAAACAGGAUCAGAUACCCGAGUAGUC
This 460-nucleotide ribosomal RNA is filed under the name uncultured bacterium. RNAcentral describes it as "partial 16S ribosomal RNA". It matches the Rfam family "Bacterial small subunit ribosomal RNA", at positions 338 to 795 of the family's 1533-position model. The record is from RNAcentral.